This 429-nucleotide ribosomal RNA is filed under the name Chloroflexota bacterium. Its description in RNAcentral is "Chloroflexi bacterium partial 16S ribosomal RNA". It matches the Rfam family "Bacterial small subunit ribosomal RNA", at positions 355 to 776 of the family's 1533-position model. Lineage: Bacteria; Bacillati; Chloroflexota. The record is from RNAcentral.
UGGGGAAUAUUGCACAAUGGGCGCAAGCCUGAUGCAGCCAUGCCGCGUGUGUGAAGAAGGCCUUCGGGUUGUAAAGCACUUUCAGCGGGGAGGAAGGCGGUGAGGUUAAUAACCUCAUCGAUUGACGUUACCCGCAGAAGAAGCACCGGCUAACUCCGUGCCAGCAGCCGCGGUAAUACGGAGGGUGCAAGCGUUAAUCGGAAUUACUGGGCGUAAAGCGCACGCAGGCGGUCUGUCAAGUCGGAUGUGAAAUCCCCGGGCUCAACCUGGGAACUGCAUUCGAAACUGGCAGGCUAGAGUCUUGUAGAGGGGGGUAGAAUUCCAGGUGUAGCGGUGAAAUGCGUAGAGAUCUGGAGGAAUACCGGUGGCGAAGGCGGCCCCCUGGACAAAGACUGACGCUCAGGUGCGAAAGCGUGGGGGGCAAACAGG